RNAcentral lists this ribosomal RNA (464 nucleotides) under Vreelandella stevensii. RNAcentral describes it as "partial 16S ribosomal RNA". It matches the Rfam family "Bacterial small subunit ribosomal RNA", at positions 338 to 795 of the family's 1533-position model. Lineage: Bacteria; Pseudomonadati; Pseudomonadota; Gammaproteobacteria; Oceanospirillales; Halomonadaceae. The record is from RNAcentral.
CCUACGGGGGCAGCAGUGGGGAAUAUUGGACAAUGGGCGAAAGCCUGAUCCAGCCAUGCCGCGUGUGUGAAGAAGGCCUUCGGGUUGUAAAGCACUUUCAGUGGGGAAGAAAGCCUUGGGGCUAAUACCCUCGAGGAAGGACAUCACCCACAGAAGAAGCACCGGCUAACUCCGUGCCAGCAGCCGCGGUAAUACGGAGGGUGCGAGCGUUAAUCGGAAUUACUGGGCGUAAAGCGCGCGUAGGCGGUCUGAUAAGCCGGUUGUGAAAGCCCCGGGCUCAACCUGGGAACGGCAUCCGGAACUGUCAGGCUAGAGUGCAGGAGAGGAAGGUAGAAUUCCCGGUGUAGCAGUGAAAUGCGUAGAGAUCGGGAGGAAUACCAGUGGCGAAGGCGGCCUUCUGGACUGACACUGACGCUGAGGUGCGAAAGCGUGGGUAGCAAACAGGAUUAGAUACCCUAGUAGUC